AGGGGUAUAGCUCAGUGAUAAGAGCACAUGCUUAGCAUGUACGAGGGCAUGAGGUCCUGAGCUCAAUCCCCAGUACCUCCA
This 81-nucleotide transfer RNA is filed under the name Camelus bactrianus (Bactrian camel). It matches the Rfam family "tRNA". From Rfam's summary of the family: Transfer RNA (tRNA) molecules are approximately 80 nucleotides in length. Their secondary structure includes four short double-helical elements and three loops (D, anti-codon, and T loops). Lineage: Eukaryota; Metazoa; Chordata; Mammalia; Artiodactyla; Camelidae. The record is from Rfam by way of RNAcentral. RNAcentral also lists the same sequence under 2 other names.